Molecule: long non-coding RNA, 1103 nt
Organism: Raphanus sativus (radish)
Lineage: Eukaryota; Viridiplantae; Streptophyta; Magnoliopsida; Brassicales; Brassicaceae
Exons: 3
Source: RefSeq, a predicted model, not a curated record
AUGAGCUCUCAUUAAAAAUGCUUUAAUAGUUGAUGAGAACAAAUUUUCUUGACACUAUCUUUUGUCCUUCGAAUCUGUCUUGCGUCAGUGUCCUAAUUCGGGAUUCUGUUUGUUACACACUUCAUAUUCAUCCAGGUGAAUACUAAAAUCUGGAGGGUGGAAGAAUCUAUAAAAUUCACAAAAACGUCCUCAAUUUUGUUCUUCUUCGCUUCGUGGCAAGUGUCUUCUGAUUUUUUGGCUUCCUUCGUAACAUACUUUGAUGUGGUUUGGUCUACCGUAUUUUCUUCGUCUAGUGAUGGUUUCCUCUGACUUUUUUUGUGUGUCAGAGGUUUUUAUUCUCUUUGAUUGGUUCUGAGGUUGAUCUUCAUGAGAUAACUAGAUUGUUUGCAUUUCCAUGUUAUUAGUUUUCCUUGAAGGUUUGAUUCACAUGAGAGGGCAUUCAGCAGGGCUGCUAAAAUGAUCUCGUUUGGUGUUCGAUUGUUUUAUCGCCAUGUUUUGUUUUAGACAAAAUGUUGCUAGUUGAUCAAAAUCUUUGAUCGAGUUUGGCUUUAGGCAUACAAAUCGGCCAAGGGCUUCUCAUUUGAGGUAUUUGGCAAAUAUUUGGAAGUAGAUUGUUGCUUGCUCCUUCGGGUUGGGUUUGAGCCUUUUCGAAUGCCUCAAUGAAGGAAGAGAGGUAGCGUUAUGGAUCUAUGGUUCCAUUGUACAUUAGGAUUCUGACUGACUUUUCCAGGGUCACGGAUAGGAUAAAAGGUUACUUUGCUUGAGAAUGAGACAUUCCUGAUUCUUCUCAAGACUCAUGGAGUUAUUAUCUCUAUCUUCUUAAUAGUCAGUUUUUUGUUUUUUAUUUAUUGUUUUUCCCUUUUUUCCAUAAGUUUUUGUAUACGUUACAAAAAAGAUUAUGGAUUAACAAAUUAAAGCUAUUUAUUACUUGAAUAUUUGUUGUUUUGGACAUAAAUAAAAUUUUAUAUAACCUGAGGGGCAUAUUUUAACCUGAAAAUAACCCCAAAAUAUUAAACCUUCACCCAAUCCCAAUGUUUAUCUUAAUUAAUCAUAAAUAACAUAAAUAAUUAAGUCACAAACAUGUUAUUGUAUAUUUUUGGUAA